RNAcentral lists this long non-coding RNA (960 nucleotides) under Cricetulus griseus (Chinese hamster). RNAcentral's name for it is "lncRNA (ENSCGRG00015031096.1)". The record is from RNAcentral. Lineage: Eukaryota; Metazoa; Chordata; Mammalia; Rodentia; Cricetidae.
UGAAACAGUGAGCUGUCUUUGUUCGAAAUACAGGUGAACGGCAAUCAUGUGAUUAACACACACACACAUAAAAAGCUUUUUAACAGCGCCCGCCCGGCCUCAGAACCUCCCGGAGAGAAGCCGCCUUGGAUGGACAGAGGGACUGAGCUACAAGCAUCCAGCCAGUCGUGUCCUGGCUCCCCGGCAGCGGUUCCCAACGUCCGCUGCUAUCCGCGCCGGCUGCCCGCCUGCCUGCCUGGCAUCUCUCUCCCGGGACACCGCCUGACCACACCCAAAGGGCCAGAGCCUGGAAGGAGAUGGACAGAAACAUUUAGGCGUAUCAGCCACCUGGCCAUGUCUAGAAUCACAGAAGCCAUAGCUCUGAGGAGGCUGGGCUCAGCUACCAGAACACUCAGUGACUGCUCCAUCUCACCCACCCAUGUGGACAGACCGCUACACAUUAUCACGGACACAGGCUGAGAGUAUGUGUGUGUGCUCAUCUGUCUCUGCUCAGCUGGACUUGCAUCCCAGGGAGGCAGAGGCAGAGGCAGCCAUGGACUUGAGGACUUGGUGGCUGGGUGGCGAAGAACAGUGGGAGAAUGAGGAGAGACCCUGAGUUGAACAACUCCCCCUGUGGCCCUCAAAGAGAAGAAAUGAGUCUCAAAUGCUGCAAGUCAGGGUGCCUGGACACACUGAGGGCUCCUACUUCUGUCUGGUAGCUGAGGGGGAAAGGCUUCCUGGAGGAGGUGACAGAUUAGAUUCAAGUGAAGGCUGAGCACAAAUCCAAACAACAAAACCAGGAACUGCAGCUACAGCAUCCGUGAAAUUUGAAAAUAUUACACUGGGGCUUGAGAGAUGGUGAAGUGGUCAAGAACACUGUCUGCUCUUCCAGAGGACCCAGGUUCUAUUCCCAGUACCCACAUGGUAGCACACAUCUGUCUGUAACUCCAGUUCCAGGGAAUCUGGCAUCCUUACCCCAAU